AUACGUAUGUCGCAAGCGCUAUCCGGAUUUAUUGGGCGUAAAGCGCGUCUAGGCGGUUUAGUAAGUCUGAUGUGAAAAUGCGGGGCUCAACCCCGUAUUGCGUUGGAAACUGCCAAACUAGAGUACUGGAGAGGUAGGCGGAACUACCAGUGGAGAGGUGAAAUUCGUAGAUAUUUGUAGGAAUGCCGAUGGGGAAGCCAGCCUACUGGACAGAUACUGACGCUAAAGCGCGAAAGCGUGGGUAGCAAACAGGAUUAGAUACCCUGGUAGUCCACGCCGUAAACGAUGAUUACUAGGUGUUGGGGGUCGAACCUCAGCGCCCAAGCUAACGCGAUAAGUAAUCCGCCUGGGGAGUACGUACGCAAGUAUGAAACUCAAAUGAAUUGACGGGG
RNAcentral lists this ribosomal RNA (392 nucleotides) under uncultured bacterium. Its description in RNAcentral is "partial 16S ribosomal RNA". It matches the Rfam family "Bacterial small subunit ribosomal RNA", at positions 523 to 918 of the family's 1533-position model. The record is from RNAcentral.